AACGAACGCUGGCGGCAUGCCUAACACAUGCAAGUCGAACGAGACCUUCGGGUCUAGUGGCGCACGGGUGCGUAACGCGUGGGAACCUGCCCUUAGGUUCGGAAUAACUCCCCGAAAGGGGUGCUAAUACCGGAUAAUGUCUUCGGACCAAAGAUUUAUCGCCUUUGGAUGGGCCCGCGUUGGAUUAGCUAGUUGGUAGGGUAAAAGCCUACCAAGGCGACGAUCCAUAGCUGGUCUGAGAGGGUGAUCAGCCACACUGGGACUGGGACACGGCCCAGACUCCUACGGGAGGGAGGAAUGGGGGAUAUUGGAAAAAGGGGGGAAGGCUGAACCAGCCAUGCCGGGUGAGGUAUGAAGGCCUUAGGGUUGGAAAGCUUUUUUAACCGGGAAGAUAAUGACAGUACCGGGAGAAAAAGCCCCGGCUAACUCCGUG
RNAcentral lists this ribosomal RNA (433 nucleotides) under uncultured bacterium. RNAcentral's name for it is "partial 16S ribosomal RNA". It matches the Rfam family "Bacterial small subunit ribosomal RNA", at positions 29 to 507 of the family's 1533-position model. The record is from RNAcentral.